AGUGAACGCUGGCGGUAGGCCUAACACAAGCAAGUCGAACGGCAGCACAGGAGAGCUUGCUCUCUGGGUGGCGAGUGGCGGACGGGUGAGGAAUACAUCGGAAUCUACUUUUUCGUGGGGGAUAACGUAGGGAAACUUACGCUAAUACCGCAUACGACCUACGGGUGAAAGCAGGGGAUCUUCGGACCUUGCGCGAUUGAAUGAGCCGAUGUCGGAUCAGCUAGUUGGCGGGGUAAAGGCCCACCAAGGCGACGAUCCGUAGCUGGUCUGAGAGGAUGAUCAGCCACACUGGAACUGAGACACGGUCCAGACUCCUACGGGAGGCAGCAGUGGGGAAUAUUGGACAAUGGGCGCAAGCCUGAUCCAGCCACACCGCGUGGGUGAAGAAGGCCUUCGGGUUGUAAAGCCCUUUCGUUGGGAAAGAAAUCCAGCUGGUUAAUACCCGGUUGGGAUGACGGUACCCAAAGAAUAAGCACCGGCUAACUUCGUGCCAGCCGCCGCCGUAA
Molecule: ribosomal RNA, 506 nt
Filed under: uncultured bacterium
Lineage: Bacteria
Description: partial 16S ribosomal RNA
Rfam family: Bacterial small subunit ribosomal RNA
Source: RNAcentral